GACGAACGCUGGCGGCGUGCUUAACACAUGCAAGUCGAACGGAAAGGCCCGGCGCUUGCGGGGUGCUCGUUUGGCGAACGGGGGAGUAACACGUGAGUAUCCUGCCCCUGACUGUGGGAUAACUUCAGGAAACUGGGGCUAAUAUCGGAUAGGAGCUCCUGCUGCACGGGGGGGGUUGGAAAGUUUCGGCGGUUGGGGAUGGUCUCGCGGCUUAUCCGCUUGUUGGGGGGGUAGUGGCUGACCAAGGCUUUGACGGGUAGCCGGCCUGAGAGGGUGACCGGCCACAUGGGGCCUGCGAUACGGCCCAGACUCCUACGGGAGGCAGCAGUGGGGAAUAUUGCAGAAUGGGCGGAAGCCUGAUGCGGCAGCGCCGCGUGCGGAAUGACGGCCUUCGAGUUGUGAACAGCUUUGGCCUGUGACGAAGAGUGAGUGACGGUACUGGAUCAAGAAGCCCCGGCUAACUACGUG
Molecule: ribosomal RNA, 468 nt
Filed under: uncultured bacterium
Lineage: Bacteria
Description: partial 16S ribosomal RNA
Rfam family: Bacterial small subunit ribosomal RNA
Source: RNAcentral